This 210-nucleotide long non-coding RNA is filed under the name Brassica napus (rape). RNAcentral's name for it is "long non-coding RNA (BNAP_LNC023447)". Lineage: Eukaryota; Viridiplantae; Streptophyta; Magnoliopsida; Brassicales; Brassicaceae. The record is from RNAcentral.
AUGGUGAUCAUGUUUGUGCAGUCCGUUCCAAAUUUCUAGCAGAUUGAGUGAUGUAGCAUACUCUCCAUCGCCCAUAUCAAUGCUCCUUAUUCUAAAUGCAAAAGCGACUCUUGUCGUCUUAUAUGUUAUGUGUCUCCAUUCAUUGAAUUUUUCGAGAGAUGUCCUUCCAAACUCAUCCGCAUCCACUGAAUUGAGAGAUGAGAGUCCAUG